Molecule: ribosomal RNA, 106 nt
Filed under: Acanthamoeba castellanii str. Neff
Lineage: Eukaryota; Discosea; Longamoebia; Acanthamoebidae
Source: RNAcentral
GGAUACGGCCAUACUGCGGAGAAAGCACCGCUUCCCACCCGAACAGCCGAAGUUAAGCUGCGCCAGGCGGUGUUAGUACUGCAGCACCGCAUCGUCGUCGUGGUCG